GCUUGUCUCAAAGAUUAAGCCAUGCAUGUUCAAGUAUAGCAAGUGUACAGUGAAACUGCGAAUGGCUCAUUAAAUCAGUUAUAAUUUAUUUGAUAGUGAAAUUGUACAUGGAUAACCGUGGCAAUUCUAGAGCUAAUACAUGCACCCGUGCCCGACUUUGUGGAAGGGUUGUGUUUAUUAGUUACAGAACCAGCCCAGGCUCUGCCUGGUCUUGUGGUGAUUCAUAAUAACCGAACGAAUCGUAUGGCAUCAGCUGGCGAUGAAUCAUUCAAGUUUCUGACCUAUCAGCUUCCGACGGUAGGGUAUUGGCCUACCGUGGCAAUGACGGGUAACGGAGAAUUAGGGUUCGAUUCCGGAGAGGGAGCCUGAGAAACGGCUACCACAUCUAAGGAAGGCAGCAGG
This 402-nucleotide ribosomal RNA is filed under the name Azadinium dalianense. RNAcentral's name for it is "partial small subunit ribosomal RNA". It matches the Rfam family "Eukaryotic small subunit ribosomal RNA", at positions 30 to 432 of the family's 1831-position model. The record is from RNAcentral. Lineage: Eukaryota; Dinophyceae; Gonyaulacales; Amphidomataceae.